UGGAAGUCCCGGCAGAGGCUUCCAUCAAGAAUCCCUGCUGUCUUGGGUUUAAGCAGCCCAUUGUAUGGAACAGUAUCAAAGGCUUUCUGAAAAUUGAGAUUAUCCAUGUUGUAUGAAUUAUCAUUUUCCAAUGCAUCUGUAAGCAGCUCCAAAGUAUACAAAGAAGACAGUGAAGUUAGAUAGAGAGCAUCUUUCUACAUAAAGCCCCUCACUCUUUGUCUUCUUGAGGCCAAAACACCCAUCGGAAAGGGAGAAAGAUAAAAGAAAUGGGUCUUGAAGACUUUGGUCACAAGAUAAGUGGCAGACUCCAAUUUGAACUUGGGAGUUCUGACUUCGACUCCAGUUUCCCUCCUCUACAGCAUAGGGAAAGUACCCAGGGUCCUGUGCCCAAGACAUGAGUUUUAAUCCACAUUAAGCAACUCCAUCCUCACUACUCGAGAUAUAAUCUUUGGACCAGCAACUUGAACAGCAUCUAUGUGCUUGUUAGAAUUGCAGAGUCCUGACCCCCACCUAAGAUCUACUAAAUCAGAAUCGGCACUUCAACAAGAACCCCAGAUGAUUCCUAUGUGCACUAAAUUUUGAGAAGUACUGCUGUUCAACUCCGUGAAUAUGGAAAGAUAAUGACCCAGUUGUGUCACUAUACUGUGUCCCUUUGUAACACCACGUUCCCCAGCAGCUUAGCCUCUUCCUGAUGCCCCUGCCUGCCUUCCUCUACUAUGGUACUCUUAUAUCCUCCUAUGGUACUCUCUAACAUUCUAUCUUAUAUUUUAGGCCAGAAAAGACCAAAAGUUUUUUACCUCCUUUGCCAACACAAAGUUCAAUUCACAGUGGUUUCCUAGAGCAUUGUGUUGAACAGGAUUCUGAGGCUCUGUCUGGAGAGGCUGGUAAAAGUCUGAUGUUUGCCAUGGGUGUAGGAAGUGAACGAGCAAAGCAUGUAUGCCAUGGAUUUGCCAUUCUUGUUCUGGACACUCCUUUUCUACUUCUCACUAUCAAUGCUUAUGUAUUUAUUACCUCACUGUCUCAAUGCCAUGCUAAGUAACUGCACAGAAAAUGUGACGAGCCAAUUCCAGCUAAUGGUUGAUCAGUGACUA
RNAcentral lists this long non-coding RNA (1091 nucleotides) under Homo sapiens (human). RNAcentral describes it as "HSALNT0406972". The record is from RNAcentral. Lineage: Eukaryota; Metazoa; Chordata; Mammalia; Primates; Hominidae.